GACGAACGCUGGCGGCGUGCCUAAUACAUGCAAGUAGGACGCAGUUGCGAACGGGUGAGUAACGCGUAGGUAACUACCUAUUAGAGGGGGAUAACUAUUGGAAACGAUAGCUAAUACCGCAUACUAGUAGAUGGACCUGCGUUGUAUUAGCUAGUAGGUAGGGUAAUGGCCUACCUAGGCAACGAUACAUAGCCGACCUGAGGAGGUGAUCGGCCACACUGGGAAUUGGGACAGGGCCAGACUCCUACCGGAGGCAGCAGGAGGGAAUCUUUGGCAAUGGGGGGAACCCUGACCGAGCAAAGCCGCGGGAGUGAAGAAGGUUUUCGGAUCGUAAAGCUCUGUUGUUAAGGGAGCGGUACUUAACCAGAAAGGGACGGCUAACUACGUGCCAGCAGCCGCGGUAAUAC
Molecule: ribosomal RNA, 407 nt
Filed under: uncultured bacterium
Lineage: Bacteria
Description: partial 16S ribosomal RNA
Rfam family: Bacterial small subunit ribosomal RNA
Source: RNAcentral